AGAACGAACGCUGGCGGCAUGCCUAACACAUGCAAGUCGAACGAACCCUUCGGGGUUAGUGGCGCACGGGUGCGUAACGCGUGGGAAUCUGCCCCUUGGUUCGGAAUAACAGUUGGAAACGACUGCUAAUACCGGAUGAUGACGAAAGUCCAAAGAUUUAUCGCCAAGGGAUGAGCCCGCGUAGGAUUAGCUAGUUGGUGAGGUAAAGGCUCACCAAGGCAACGAUCCUUAGCUGGUCUGAGAGGAUGACUCGACGCCACACGUGGACUGAGACGACCGGCCCAGACCUCCGUACGGGAGCAGCAGGUAGGAAUAGUGAACAGUGGACGAACGCUGA
Molecule: ribosomal RNA, 337 nt
Filed under: uncultured soil bacterium
Lineage: Bacteria
Description: bacterial SSU rRNA
Rfam family: Bacterial small subunit ribosomal RNA
Source: RNAcentral